Molecule: ribosomal RNA, 816 nt
Filed under: uncultured bacterium
Lineage: Bacteria
Description: bacterial SSU rRNA
Rfam family: Bacterial small subunit ribosomal RNA
Source: RNAcentral
AGAGUUUGAUCCUGGCUCAGAAUGAACGCUGGCGGCGUGCUUAACACAUGCAAGUCGCACGAGAACUCUUUAGCUUGCUAAAGAUAGUAAAGUGGCGCACGGGUGAGUAACGCGUGGGUAAUCUUCCUUCAAAUUGGGGAUAACUCGCCGAAAGGCGGGCUAAUACCGAAUAAUAUCUUUGAAACUUCGGUUUUGAAGAUCAAAGGUGGCCUCUAUUUAUAUGCUACUGUUUGAAGAUGAGCCCGCGUACCAUUAGCUUGUUGGUAGGGUAAUGGCCUACCAAGGCUGCGAUGGUUAGCUGGUCUGAGAGGAUGAUCAGCCACACUGGAACUGACACACGGUCCAGACUCCUACGGGAGGCAGCAGUGAGGAAUUUUGCGCAAUGGGGGAAACCCUGACGCAGCAACGCCGCGUGAGUGAUGAAGGCCUUCGGGUCGUAAAGCUCUGUCAAGUGGGAAGAACCUGAUGAAUGAUAAUACCAUUGAUCACUGACGGUACCACUGAAGGAAGCACCGGCUAACUCCGUGCCAGCAGCCGCGGUAAUACGGAGGGUGCAAGCGUUAUUCGGAAUCAUUGGGCGUAAAGGGCGCGUAGGCGGUUUUUUAAGUCAGAUGUGAAAGCCCGGGGCUUAACCCCGGAAGUGCAUUUGAAACUGAAAGACUUGAGUAUGGGAGAGGGAAGUGGAAUUCCUGGUGUAGAGGUGAAAUUCGUAGAUAUCAGGAGGAACACCGGUGGCGAAGGCGACUUCCUGGACCAAUACUGACGCUGAGGCGCGAAGGCGUGGGUAGCAAACAGGAUUAGAUACCCUGGUAGUCC